Molecule: non-coding RNA, 366 nt
Rfam family: Bacterial RNase P class A
About the family: Ribonuclease P (RNase P) is a ubiquitous endoribonuclease, found in archaea, bacteria and eukarya as well as chloroplasts and mitochondria. Its best characterised activity is the generation of mature 5'-ends of tRNAs by cleaving the 5'-leader elements of precursor-tRNAs. Cellular RNase Ps are ribonucleoproteins.
Source: Rfam
GGAGUCGGCCGGACAGUCGCGUCGCACCUUGUGUGCGUCGAGGAAAGUCCGGGCUCCGCAGGGCAGGGUGCCAGGUAACGCCUGGGCAGCGCGAGCUGACGGCCAGUGCAACAGAGAGCAGACCGCCGAUGGCCCCGCAAGGGGAUCAGGUAAGGGUGAAACGGUGCGGUAAGAGCGCACCGCGCGCGGGGACAACGCCGCGUGGCACGGUAAACCCCACCCGGAGCAAGACCGAAUAGGGGAACGAUAACGCGGCCCGCGUUGUUCCCGGGUAGGUUGCUGGAGCCUGGCGGUGACGCCAGGCCGAGAGGAAUGACUGUCGCGCCGCAAGGCGAACAGAACCCGGCUUACAGGCCGACUCCAUCU